Molecule: ribosomal RNA, 445 nt
Filed under: uncultured bacterium
Lineage: Bacteria
Description: partial 16S ribosomal RNA
Rfam family: Bacterial small subunit ribosomal RNA
Source: RNAcentral
GUGAGGAAUAUUGCGCAAUGGAGGCAACUCUGACGCAGCCAUGCCGCGUGCAGGAAGAAGGCGCUACGCGUUGUAAACUGCUUUUAACCGGGAAGAAACCCCAGGACGUGUCCUGGGUUGACGGUACCGGAGGAAUAAGCAACGGCUAACUUCGUGCCAGCAGCCGCGGUAAUACGAAGGGUGCAAGCGUUAUCCGGAUUCAUUGGGUUUAAAGGGUGCGUAGGCGGAGCGUUAAGUCAGUGGUGAAAUCCUGCAGCUUAACUGUAGACUUGCCAUUGAUACUGGCGCUCUUGAGUGCGCUUGAAGUGGGCGGAAUGUGCCGUGUAGCGGUGAAAUGCUUAGAUAUGGCACAGAACACCAAUUGCGAAGGCAGCUCACUAAGGCGAUACUGACGCUGAGGCACGAAAGCGUGGGGAUCGAACAGGAUUAGAAACCCUUGUAGUCC